This 651-nucleotide ribosomal RNA is filed under the name Arthrobacter sp. PRB14. RNAcentral describes it as "bacterial SSU rRNA". It matches the Rfam family "Bacterial small subunit ribosomal RNA", at positions 103 to 768 of the family's 1533-position model. The record is from RNAcentral. Lineage: Bacteria; Bacillati; Actinomycetota; Actinomycetes; Micrococcales; Micrococcaceae.
CGGGUGAGUAACACGUGAGUAACCUGCCCCUGACUCUGGGAUAAGCCCGGGAAACUGGGUCUAAUACCGGAUAUGACUUUUGACCGCAUGGUUGAGGGUGGAAAGAUUUAUCGGUUGGGGAUGGACUCGCGGCCUAUCAGCUUGUUGGUGAGGUAAUGGCUCACCAAGGCGACGACGGGUAGCCGGCCUGAGAGGGUGACCGGCCACACUGGGACUGAGACACGGCCCAGACUCCUACGGGAGGCAGCAGUGGGGAAUAUUGCACAAUGGGCGCAAGCCUGAUGCAGCGACGCCGCGUGAGGGAUGACGGCCUUCGGGUUGUAAACCUCUUUCAGUAGGGAAGAAGCGAGAGUGACGGUACCUGCAGAAGAAGCGCCGGCUAACUACGUGCCAGCAGCCGCGGUAAUACGUAGGGCGCAAGCGUUAUCCGGAUUUAUUGGGCGUAAAGAGCUCGUAGGCGGUUUGUCGCGUCUAUCGUGAAAGUCCGAGGCUCAACCUCGGAUCUGCGGUGGGUACGGGCAGACUAGAGUGAUGUAGGGGAGACUGGAAUUCCUGGUGUAGCGGUGAAAUGCGCAGAUAUCAGGAGGAACACCGAUGGCGAAGGCAGGUCUCUGGGCAUUUACUGACGCUGAGGAGCGAAAGCAUGGGGAG